RNAcentral lists this ribosomal RNA (440 nucleotides) under uncultured Glomeromycotina. RNAcentral's name for it is "SSU rRNA". It matches the Rfam family "Eukaryotic small subunit ribosomal RNA", at positions 569 to 1014 of the family's 1831-position model. The record is from RNAcentral. Lineage: Eukaryota; Fungi; Glomeromycota.
AGCAGCCGCGGUAAUUCCAGCUCCAAUAGCGUAUAUUAAAGUUGUUGCAGUUAAAAAGCUCGUAGUUGAAUUUCGGAAUCAAUAUGUUGGUCGUGCCUUGGUACGUACUAAUUUAUUGGUUUCUUCCUUCUGACGAACCAUGAUGUCAUUAAUUUGGUGUCUUGGGGAAUCAGGACUGUUACUUUGAAAAAAUUAGAGUGUUUAAAGCAGGCUCACGCUUGAAUACAUUAGCAUGGAAUAAUGAAAUAGGACGUUUGAUUCUAUUUUGUUGGUUUCUAGGAUCGACGUAAUGAUUAAUAGGGAUAGUUGGGGGCAUUAGUAUUCAAUUGUCAGAGGUGAAAUUCUUGGAUUUAUUGAAGACUAACUACUGCGAAAGCAUUUGCCAAGGAUGUUUUCAUUAAUCAAGAACGAAAGUUAGGGGAUCGGAAGACGAUCAGAUA